Molecule: long non-coding RNA, 510 nt
Organism: Hippocampus comes (tiger tail seahorse)
Lineage: Eukaryota; Metazoa; Chordata; Actinopteri; Syngnathiformes; Syngnathidae
Exons: 2
Source: RefSeq, a predicted model, not a curated record
AGACAACAAUGUGAACAUUUGGCGUUUUUGUUAUGCAUUUUCUUGCACUGUACAUUAUAUUAAGAGUCCAUUCAUCCAUUUUCUAUCCCGCUUGUCCUCACUAGGGUCACGGGUCAGUCGGAGCCUAUCCCAGCUGUCUUUGUUUUCCCGUUCUCGUCAAGCCGGUCCCUUGUCUCGACCAAUCGGCUUCCUCAGGUACGCUUGUCUUGUCCAGGUGCUGCUCGUCUCGCCAGUUUGCUUGUAUUUAGUUCUCUGCUUUAUUUUUGUCUUUGUCGGUUGAUUGCUUCUGUUUCUGUCAUAGUCAAAGUUCUCCGAGAGUGAAUGUUUUUUAGAGAUUCCUCCUGCUCCCCAGUCCUGCCCCCCUGCUUUCUUGCACUUGGGUACUCCAACGCCAGGAAAAAACAGCUUGUGACAGUAAGUGUAAAACGAAACUCGGCGUUGCAUUGUGUGUAUUGAAAGAUGUAUUUUAAAGACCUCCCAGUAGGGUGCAGUGCAACGCCACUGCAAAAA